GAACGAGAAAGUGGAGCAAUCCAUGAGUAAAGUGGCGACCGGGUGAGUAACACGUGACUAACCUACCUCCGAGUGGGGAAUAACUCCGGGAAACCGGGGCUAAUACCGCAUAACAUCGCAAGAUCAAAGCAGCAAUGCGCUUGGAGAGGGGGUCGCGGCUGAUUAGCUCGUUGGCGGGGUAACGGCCCACCAAGGCGAAGAUCGGUAUCCGGCCUGAGAGGGCGCACGGACACACUGGAACUGAAACACGGUCCAGACUCCUACGGGAGGCAGCAGUGGGGAAUUUUGCGCAAUGGGGGAAACCCUGACGCAGCAACGCCGCGUGGAGGAUGAAGCCCUUUGGGGCGUANACUCCUUUCGACUCGGACGAUAAUGACGGUACGAGUGGAAGAAGCACCGGCUAACUCUGUG
Molecule: ribosomal RNA, 411 nt
Filed under: uncultured bacterium
Lineage: Bacteria
Description: bacterial SSU rRNA
Rfam family: Bacterial small subunit ribosomal RNA
Source: RNAcentral